ACAAGAUAUCCACAGUGACUAACAUAUUUAUUUGCAUGCUCACCAAGUGGUCUGCCUGUAGCUAUCUCAAACUCAGAGAUUACAUAGCGGCCCUCCAACGGCUUCUUUGGCCCUCGUGGAGGUACGCUUCUCCGUCGAUCCAGAAGGCUACACGUAGAUAUAGAAACAAAAAUACUAAAUUAAUAACCAAGUAAUAAGUCUAAAACCUAAUAUAAGAGAUGCCUUAAUUAUAUAUGUUUACAUUUACAUACCUCACCAGUAUUUUCUUCAUGUUGCACGAUAAGUUGUUGCUCAGGGGCAUUGCCCUCUUGUUGCUUAGUAUGAUUGCCUUGCAUGAUCUCGUGGUAAUCAACAAAGUACUGACUACCGUCGUCGAUCAUAUUUUGAAUGGCAUCUUCCAUAUAAUCAGGAUCAUCAUGAGGACGGUCAGCCAUUUCUAUGUCUGCAACCAUACAUAUAUAUAUAUUUUAUAUAAGAUAAGAAAUACACUAGAAUAAUAUAAGUGCUAGAGUGCUCCAAACUAAAAAGUAAUACUAAAAAAAUAAUACGGACAAUAACACUAGAAUAAUAUACUAGCACACAAUAUAUUUCAUAACAAUUCAAAACACUACAAUUCAUAAUAUACUAGAAUAACAUACUAAAAAGUCUUUUAAGCCAAGUAAUAUACUAAAAAAUAAUAGUAAAAAAACAAUACGAACAAUAACACUAGAAUAAUAUGCUAGCACAAUAUAUUUCAUAACAAUUCAAAACACUACAAUUCAUAAUAUACUAGAAUAAUAUACUAAAAAGUCUUUUAAGCCAAGUAAUAUACUAAAAUAAUAUACUAAAAAAUAAUACU
RNAcentral lists this long non-coding RNA (838 nucleotides) under Sorghum bicolor (sorghum). RNAcentral's name for it is "long non-coding RNA (SBIC_LNC015753)". The record is from RNAcentral. Lineage: Eukaryota; Viridiplantae; Streptophyta; Magnoliopsida; Poales; Poaceae.